RNAcentral lists this ribosomal RNA (263 nucleotides) under Chaetoceros affinis. RNAcentral's name for it is "partial Bacterial large subunit ribosomal RNA". It matches the Rfam family "Bacterial large subunit ribosomal RNA", at positions 248 to 508 of the family's 2925-position model. The record is from RNAcentral. Lineage: Eukaryota; Bacillariophyta; Thalassiosirophyceae; Chaetocerotales; Chaetocerotaceae.
GGCGAGCGAAAUGGGACAAGCCCAAACCAAAGUUGUUUCGGCAAUUUUGGGGUUGUAGGACCACGAUAUCUGUUGUUCAAAGAACUUGAAUGGUUUUGGAAGAGCCAACCAAAGAGGGUGAAAGUCCCGUAAAGGUAAUAUUGAAUAAAUGGUAGUGGUAUCCUGAGUAGCGCGGGACACGAGAAAUCCUGUGUGAAUCUGUCAGAACCAUCUGAUAAGGCUAAAUACUCCUGAAAGACCGAUAGUGCACUAGUACCGUGAGG